Molecule: long non-coding RNA, 6049 nt
Organism: Mustela erminea (ermine)
Lineage: Eukaryota; Metazoa; Chordata; Mammalia; Carnivora; Mustelidae
Exons: 7
Source: RefSeq, a predicted model, not a curated record
AAACCAGAGACACAACAGCCAAGGGGUGCUCAGACCUUUCCCUUUUCAAGACUUUUUUAUUGGAGUGGAACACAUCCGCCAGGAAGCACACUGCUGAUCGCCUUCCCCUGGUGCGGGCCCUGGGCUCCUUCCUGACACUGCCCACACGUUACCCAGCGCCAUUUUCCUCUGCGCAUCCAACUCCGCACUGGGUCAAGCUCCGUGAAGGCAGGCCCUGUGUGUUAGGAUGUGAGCCAGACCUUGCUGUUUGCCGGUUCUGCCUCUGUUUCCUCCUCUGAGACGGCCUCUGGGUUUUGUUGGGUGGAACUGUGAUCAAAGGGCCUUGUCCUUCCUUGGUCCUUGAUGACAAAAAGAUGGAAAUGUCUGGAACCAGGUUUUGAAGAGCCUGUCCUCUCGCUCCUUGGGUUUUCUCCUCAGAGAAGCUGGCUCUUCAGCUCUUCUGUCAACACUGUGAGGUACCCAGUCGGAGGGCCCUUCCACCUCUUACAGUCAAAGAACCCAACCAAAGAUGGUGCUUUCUUCGACUUCAUGCCCCCAGAUACGAUGCCGUUUUUUUGGUAGGAGAAGCCGGGUCAUGGUUCCCGUGGAUAUUUUCCAUGGUUCGGAUUUGGCCGGUUGCACCUGCAUGGUAACAUUUGGCAGGUCCCCCGUCCCAGGUUGCCAGAUGUCUGUGCCGCCCUGGGCCUCCUGGUGUGGGCCUGCCUUGUUUCAGAGUAGCUUCAAUGACAAAAGUUGUGGCCCCAUGUUGAAACAAGGAGGACUAACUCCCGGGAACCCUUCACCAGGGACAGAUACAUUCCCCAGCUUCCCCACCUUCUGUGGGCCCUGUUCUAGAUGGUUCUUCAGAGGGUCCCCAGCCGGACCGAGCCCAGUCACCCAGGGGUAACCAUCCCUGAUUGGUCUUGUUAUUAAUGUAUUAAUAAAGGGUGACCAACUGCUUUGUUUCCUGUUCCCUCAGGUUUCACUUUCCUCAUUCCCUCACUUCUUCCAGGGACCAUCUCCCAAGUGAAACCCUCUGCCCCAAACCCUCGUCUCAAGCCCUUCCUCUGGUGACUCUAGAGGGUUGGCCAGAUUUAGGUUCCUUUUCUUUUUCUCUUUUUGGUAGUUUGGCGUCUCAGGUGCUGCAGUGUGCUUUCUGUUGUCCCUUACUGCCCCCGGCAGCGUGUCCGAUGGGGUCCUGCUAGUAUUUGUGCCUUAGAAUAUCAGGGAUCCAGCGGGAAGCUUCAAGAGCCUUCCUCUAAUCUUACCUUGCAACCAUUCUGGACGGACUCCCCCUGCAUUUAUAGCUAAGCUCUUCCACUGCUGAUAGAUGUUUUCUGCUUUUAGGUAGCACGCUUUCCGUUCAACAGGAGGUGACGUGUCCGGCCCCCCUCAUGUGUCUCUCAAAGCAGCAGCAUUUGGUUCCCCUCCCCUCCACAGAGCCUUCGUGCAUGAGUCAUUUCUGCUGGGGGUCUGUGUGUUUUCAAGUCCUCGUGGACGGAACACUUGGUAUCACAAAAAUAGAAGCUCAUCCAAGGUGUGUUUUGCUCAGCUGGCUGGCUGUUAACCAGUUCAUGGGAGGCUUAGCACCUUGUAAUGGAAAAGCAGAGGGGGGACUACGGUGGCUGGGCGAGGGCAUGAGUGUGGGCAUGUGAGUGCGUGUAUGCACGCGUGCGUGUGCAUGUGCACACAAGACCUCUUUCCCCUUGGGUGGUACAGAUCACUCCCUACUUAGAAUCGUUUUUCCUUCUGAAAAGCCUUCCCCCUUCUUAUUCCACUCAUUAGCCCCAAGUAUCCACCCCCUCCCUGUGCAAAAUGCCUGAAAUGGAACACGGUAAGGUAGAAGGUAGCUCCGUAGUGAAGAUAGCAUGGGAUUUUGAGUUAGACGAUCUGAUGGUUCACUGUGUGACCCUGGGCAGUCGCUGAACCACUACGGGCUUGAUUUUUCUUCCCUUUAAGUUGGGUAUAAUAAAACUAUGUGUUAGAACACUUUAACUUAAUAAAUGAAAUGAGAGUGCAUUAUGAAAAAAAGAAUACUGUCAAUAGUAAAAGCUUGUAUGAACAAACGGGGAUAUUUUCCUGUCUCAGUGGGGAUAGAUUUUCAAUAUUUCCUCGGACAGGUUUUGAUAGGAAUAAAGGAAGGAGAUCAAACCAGACAGGGUGCUUAGUUGCGAACAACAGGAGCAGACUCAGCCUAAGCGAAGGAGACAAGACACUUUUCAACAGUCUAUCGAGAGGUUUUCAGACCUGACAGGAACUUAAGAAAUGCAGCAAGGAUUCUGAGAUACAUACUUACAGGCAAAACAAGAACUCCUUGAGGAAUGAUGUUACAGUACCCAAAACCUGACCAGCAUCCCCGUGUGCUACACCAAGAAGGAUCCAGUUGCAAAGUGGAGGGAACAAAUGCAAGUCAGAGGUGCUGGUAAUGUGGACACCUGCCUCUCUCUCUCUCUGCCUUCAGAAAAGUUGAUUCCCAAGACUCUAGCAAGUGGCCCCUUGCUAAACCCUGUGCAAUGUUUCUUUGCUGCUAGGACUCCUUCACCCUUCUCCUGCCAGAUUUUACAAUGCGAGUCUCCUCAUCCAGUGCCCCAUCCCUGAUCAUAUUUGUGUGAAUUGUCCUCAGUCUGGGAGGAGAACGCUGCGCUCUUGGCUGGAAACAGGCUUAUUUCUAAUUUGUCCACUUCCGUUUCUCUUGAGACCAUGAUCCAGCACUCAUCCUGCCUCUGAACCCACCAGCCAACAGACCUGACUUCUACAGGAGAAAAAUAGAUGCUGUCUUCUUGACAUAAGAACUUCAAAAUAACACAGGCUGUGAAGUGCUGAGCUGCCCCCAGCUUAUGGCCUUGUUUCUUUGACAGACGAGGCAUUGCAAUACGUACAGUUGGCCCUCCAGGCGGUAAUCUGAUUAUUGCCAAGUGCUAGUCGCUGUUGGGAAUUUGCCACAUGGAAGCCCACUUCACAUAGGCUGGACAGGCAGAGGCUUCAAUUAACAGUGGCUUUUGUAGAAACAACUACACGCACAGGAUCACUAAAGUCAAGGUCACGGGGUUUGCUAGAUCCAGUCAGAGGGCAUUUCCAAGAGGUGGCCCUCCGUCAUCUACUGGCUGUAUGUAAGCUCUCUGUCUCUGUCUCGAAGUUCUAGUCAGCCCCAUAGCGGCUACCUCUCCUGUUUCAUCCAUGACUUGAGAGGUGGAAAAUGUAACUCAGUAUCACUCACUAAGACGUGCAGAGAAAAGUUUGGUCUACCUGGACUCCUCCUGCUUGCCGAAGUCUGAAGCUAAUGGAACUUGCUACCUGGCUUCUGCCUACUUGGCACGGGUUCGGCCGGGCACCCUGACUGCAGAUCCCUGACUGUUUGCCCUGUUUGGCACCCUGCCAUGCCUGGCUUCCCUCCUCAAGUUCUGCCACGGUUCUUGUCCUCCUGUCCCGACAACCUCCUUAGCUCUCCUGCUGGACACUUAACCCAGCCUGCUUCAUUGAGUUGGCACAAUGGAGUCUGUACCGUGAAGGUGGUUAUUUGUGACAGGGAAGCAUGUCAGAGUCCCAGAGUCAAGCUGGUUAAAGCAGCGAUUGAAAGACAGAAUCAUCUCCUAGGCAGAACCUCUCUCAGGAAAGGAACAGGACGAGCAUGAUUUCAUGACUUGACUGUAAUCCAUUCAGUGGAAUUAAUGGAUGAAAUAAAAAAAAAAAUGUUUCAGAGGAAGUGAACACGGACUAUAGAAAAGCAGGGGUGAGAGAGGCCAUCACAGGCAGUGUGUCUUUGGCCCUGACCAGGUGACAUGAGCUCAGCGUCCUCACGACAGCCUGCCUUGCAGCGGAAAUGAAGGCAUCCAGGAAAUAGUUGCUGAACAGACCUUAGAAGCUGCCUCCCCGGGAAAAGGAACUUGCUGAAGUCCCGAAACAGCAGUAGCAAUGGACAAUUUGGUCUGGAGGGACUAAUGGGUCACUACGGGGAGGAUACCGUAGGUGAUCCGGGCCUGAGAUGGCCAUAUUGCAAAGCCCUAGAGAGGAGGGACUAGAACGGGGACCGUGCUGAACCCUGACCGUUCCCACUAACGGACCGCGCAACAAGGGAACACAAGAAGAAGCCAUGGAUGAGGGAGGUCUUCCAUUCAGCUCUAGAACUUGUCUUCCUGCGUAAAGAAAGGCAGUCUACAAAACAUCCCCCAGGCCCUGCUGCUGUGACCGACAUGUAGAGAGGAAGGUUUUCAGAAUUGUUCCCCCUGGAAGGAAGUGCCCGGAGAGAACAGCCAUCCCCACGUCAGCUUCAGAUCCACACACAGAUCCUGCAGGACAAAUGGAAACAUCCAGGCAGGAGGACGGCGGAUAAAGCCCCGGCCACUGAGAUGGGACUUGGCAGACAGAAAGAAGGAGACCUCUCUGUAGAGUUCAUGGACACCAACAGAUCCUGUUUCGUCAUGGUUUUUUGGGGCUGGAAUGGAUCAAACACCAAGACGGUGAUGAGAAAAACUGACCUGGGCUGGAACUGGGAGACGGCACCCAAUGCCCCCCACUGGGGGUUUAAGCAACACCCACCGGGGUGAUCCUGGCUGGUCAUGCCAGACUCCCUCUGCGGUCAUACUUUUAUUCUGCUUGUGUGUUUAUAUGUACGUUUAUAUCUGGAGCCACCUCUAAAUUAAAUUGAAUUUUUUCACAUUAAGACACUCAUAAUUUUUAAAAUCUUUUAUAAAGUAUUUGUAUUUGAUGUACAAUGAAUCAGCAUGAAGGCAGGGACGCUGGAUGACCCCAUUCAAGAAAAUUCGUUUAAUCCAACCUAACGCAGCCUGUGUCCGCUGCGUCCUGAUGGAAAUACCAGUGGCACCUUUUGUGGCCUCGUUACUGGCUCAGACUGAGCUGGUUAGAGCAGACUCGGCAAGAACAAGAACCCUGGCCAGAUUUCCCUGGAUGGCGCCCCAGUAGAGCCUCCGGGGACCCAUCUUGCCGUCUCAGACACAACGAGGCAAAAGGCGUGACCUUGCCGUUCUCUGUGGAUGUUCCUGUGUCUGAGUAAUCAGAAACACACAUGCGUAAAGAGACGCACCUGACCCGUCCACUCUAGAGCGUGGGGACGAUUUUCUGCAGCUACCCUCUUCGCUCUCAAGGUACAAAGUACGAGACCCUCUGUAGGAAUUGAUUGGGAAAAUACAUGUUGUGGCCGCUGCGUCCCUCUCUGGAGGGGAGCCUGGGAAGGGCAAAGUCUGUUGGGAUGGCCUCUGUCUUGUCCUUGCUCAUGCCUGGCCUGCGUUUGCUUUCCUUGGGCUGGGGCCAGACCCUAUUGGAGGAUUUGGUUUGCUGACUGGCAGGUCCUUCUCGGGGGCUGUCUGGAGACCCCGAGGCUUGGGUAGAGGAGCUGAGGCAGUGCCUGGCGGGACUGCGUCCAGGUUCUGGUGACUUGAGCCUGAGGACGAGACAGCCACCUGGAGACGGCUCUCGGCUUACAAUGUGUAGAUUUGAAACCACAGUCAGCAAGUUUACACUCUGCUGCCUUCGACUCUCUCAGCUUUGUUUCCUUGAAUGAAGAGUAGAUAUUUACUCUACUUACAAAGUAAACCGUUUUAGGCAGCGGACGACUGACAGAACAUUCCCGACUCUUGGGAUGGCCCGGAAGACUCUUCAGUUGCAUGAUCUUAUUUUCCAGAAGGAACCAUGAGCCCCUCCUCAUGCCUCGGAGCCUCCUCUGCCCAAGUUUUCUGGACUUCUGGCGUUUGCUGCACUUGCUGUGGGCAACGCCCCCUCCCACAGGCAGCUCCCCCGCCCCAGCCUCAGCCUGGCUCCUACUUCAGCUUCCUGGCCCUGACCUGGGAUUUCUGGCUCUUCCUGACAAUGUGUCUCAAAGCCCUCUGGUCAGCACAGAGAUGUACAAGCUCUUUCAUUUUCUCACCAUGACAUAUUAAAGGCAUUUGAAGUCUCAACUUAGAAUUACUCCCUCGAUACCUCUUAAUCCUUCUCGAUACCCUCUGGGCAGCCAUAGCCAGCGGGGCAAAGCCAUUAGUGACUCUCUGACUAUGACACAAAGUGGCUGAUGGGUUUCUCACAGGCCCUGUCAUUUUUUAUUUUUUUUUAAAGGACU